Molecule: long non-coding RNA, 5057 nt
Filed under: Sus scrofa (pig)
Lineage: Eukaryota; Metazoa; Chordata; Mammalia; Artiodactyla; Suidae
Description: lncRNA (ENSSSCG00000057659.1)
Source: RNAcentral
AUUUUCAAUAAAAAUGAAAAGCACUGGUCACCGCAAUCUGUCAAAAAGCUCUUCAGUGAAACCCAUUAAUAAUGACCUUUCAAUUUGCUCUUCUCUAAACUAAAUAAUAUAAAUCAUUUUUACUCUUCUUGGAAUUCUCAUUUUCACCCUUCAGUUAUUUUUCUCCUUCUAUCCUGAACUCUCUUCAUUCUUCUUAAGUUCUGAGAUAUCAUACUAGCCAUGGUAGGAUCCCACCACUGGUGAAUGUAAUAGGAGGGUUACCUUGCUGUUCUCAUUUACUAUACUCCUAUUUAUGCCUUAUAUAGAACUCCGAGAGGCGCAGAUAGGAUUUAAACGGUGUACUGAUUGAUGCUCAUGGUCCUGAAUAACUUCAUAACAGUUUUCAUAGCAAUACAAACGUUAUUCCCAUAAACCUGGGUAGGUAAUGACUUUCUUGCCUCUCUGUAGCAUUUUAAGUUUCAAGUAGAUGAAUUACUCUUCACUUUCACUCCUAAAGCCAUUAUUACAAAAAGGUGUUUGAGCAGAACAGAACAACUCUGCAUUUUAACAGAGGAAGAAAGGACCACUUUAUAUACAGCCUGUAAAGAGUCUAGUGUCCCUUUUGGGUAUGAAAUACAGUGAUACAGAGUCCUGCUUUCCCAGCCUAGUGUGCACAAUCCAACAUGUUCUUUAUAUUUUCUUUGAUUUUCUUACCUUGCUUAGCUGUCCUAAAUCCUAACAAAAUCUACCUUGAUAGUAACAUUUAUUCACCAAUUCUAGCGAAUUUUUAAGUAAAAAAGGUUUAAACAAGAACAUGAAAUUGACAAAGCUCUAAGUCAGAUUUACACUUGUUUCAUCAAUUUAACUAAAAAUGCAGAGGAAUUUUUAGUUUUGCUUGUUUUUUGUUAUCUUUUUUCAUAUUGGAAAUAACCAGUAAAAUAAUUCAUUGUUCUAUAAUAAUAUAUUGAAUACUUAUCAGUUUAUCUGUUGUCAGAGAAAGUCUAAAACAGAUUAGCAUAGUCUGGGUUUCUAUGUGUUCUCUUUCUUAUUUUCUAUUGAAAUAGAUUUCUUCUGAUUUUUUUUUUUUUUUUUUUUUUUAGGGCCACACUUGUGGCAUAUGGAAGUUCCCAGGCUAGGGGUUGAAUCUAGAGCUGCAGCUGCCAGCCUAUGCCACAGCCACAGCCACAGCAACACGGGAUCCAAGCUGUGUCUGCAACUUACACCACAGCUCAUGGCAACAUCAGAUCCUUAAUCCACUGAGUGAGGCCAGUGCAUCCUUGUGGACACUAGUCGGGUUUGUAACCCACUGAACCACAAUGGGAACUCCUUGAAUUUUAUUCUUUAAAAAAAAAAAAGUCUUCAGUGUUAUCUCCUUUAUUUAAACUCCAGGGCUUUUCUUUUUGCAUUUUCUCUCACCCAAUUCUGAAAUUCCAGCUUUUUGUUUCAAAUCACUUGGCUCUUCGUGCAGUACAGAGACUCUUAGAUGUAGAAGACCAGAGUACCUGUGCAGCCAGUCUUUAUUGUGCAGAAGGGUGACCUCAUCCUUCUGCAUAUCCUUAUCUCAUUUCUCAACUUUUUACACUCCUUCCUACUAAGCUUCAUUCUUUCCACUCUCAAGUGGGCUUAUAGGAAUUUAGGGAAGUUUUACAAAGGCAUUGGAUGUUUGAGCUAUAUCUUCAAAACACAGAUGUCAUCUUGCCAUACCCGGCUUUUAAUGUAAACUAUUGCUUGAUGUAUAAAAUCUAUACUCUAUAGCAUGAACUAUAUACUUUGAUACCAUGUUUUGCCAAUAUAUCCCCAUUUUCAAUUUCUCUGCCUUCUUCCACAUACACCCCCAAUCUGCUAUUUUUUCAGUCUAUAUCUGUUGCCUACCUUUUUCUCUUAAAUGUAUUCUGGCAUGAAUGAAAAAUUAUAUAAUAAUCACUCUGUUAAGGUGCAGCUCAUACAUUUAAUGCAUUUGUGAAGCUUCUCUAAGUUUCCAUUAGCAUAACAUUGUUUCCUUCUUUGUUCCUAUGGCAGUUAAAAAAAGUGCUUUCUGUAACAUUUAACACUUUCAUUAACAUUUUCUGUUUAGUAAUCUGCCUUUUGCUCUAGAGAAUGUGCUUUUAGGUGCCAGGACUGUAUAAUCAUUCAUUUAUUUACUCAUAAUUCAUUCAAUAAAAUUCUAUUGACAUACUAGAAGUUAGGUACUGUUGUGUGAUACCACACUAAUGAAGAAACAAACAAGGACCAUAUUUUUAUGCUGAUUUUUUUCUUUCAUUCUUUUUCUUUAUUCUUUCUUUCUUUUUUUUUUUUUUUUUUGAGAGGAGUAGCCUGCAGCUAGGUGGACAAAUAAGUUAAUCAUAGAAAAUAAGACAAUAAUGUCAUAAAAAGAGAGUUCAGGUUUGGUCUAAGUUAAAAAAAAUGUUCAGGAAAAGCAUAUCUGAGCAUGUAAUCCUUAAAGUGGGCACUGAAUGAUGAACUAUGUUAGCACCGUGAAGAUCUAGAAGAGAGUUCCAAACAGAAGAGAUGCUCAGAACAGCAGCAAUGAGCUUGAUGGUUUGAGGAAUUGAGAGAAGGUCUGUUGUGGCUAGAAUCCAUGCAGAAGAAUAGAGGAGGAUAGUCAGAAAUAACAUGAGAGAGGCAAUCAAGAACCACAUCCUAUUAAUAGAGGUGCUUCGAUAAAUAUUUUUUAAUAAAUAGUAAUUGAAAUUGAUUUAUUGUUUCAAUGGUGUAAUGAAGGGCAAUGGAUGAAAAGGAAAUGAAUUAAUAGAUUUAGAUCCGUAAUCUUUAAAUAUUUCAACCCAAUAAUGGCCAAAGCACUAUCAUAUGUAUGUAGUAAAGUAUAGUAUAGCAUUGUAUCCAUAUCACAGACAGUGUACUUUUUACACCAUAAAUAUAGAAAAUAUGUUUGAAGCUAUAAAAAAAAAUGUGACUGAAGCUAUGACUGUAGGAAGUCUUGCACACUCUCUUUUUUGUGACUCUAAAAUAAUUUGUAAAGGAGGAAACAAAACAGACUCUGAUGUCAAAGGGAAAGAUAUAUUAAAAAUGUGGAAACAAAUUGGGUAACUUGUGAAUGCAAAUCUUUCUAUGGACAUAUUCAAAAUAUAUAAAACUAUAAUCUCAAAAAAGAUAGGAACUAUUCCUGUUUAUCAGUCUUUGUAUAAUAUUUAGUUAAUAUCUUUUACAUAGAUGUUUAAUUAAAUAAAAAUAUAUAUCCAAAUUUGUAUUUUAAAAGUUCACUUUUGUUUCCUUAUACAAUUAAAAUAAUUUUUGAAAACCUCAGAGAUUAAAGUACAACUUUUUUUUUAUUUGUCUCUUCAUAGCAAUUUUAAGUAACGUCUACUUUUAAUAAAAUGUUUUUGGAGCAAUUCCAAAAUAAUUUUGUACAUUAAUUUUCUUCUUUUAUAGAAGUAAUCAUUGAGCAUGGCCUAUCCUAAUUAGCAAGCAAAACAAUUGUAAAAUAAUAAUUGAGACAAAGUAAAAUUUGGUAUUACAGAAUUGUUUUUUCUCCUGAGGAAUCAGGCAGAUGGUUGAGAUCACUGUGGUUCUUGAUGAGUGGGAAGUAAGAACAUCUCCACAUUGUACCAUGAUCAAGUGUUAGCUAACAAAUACAUUUUUAGUGUAAAAUUGAUGGAACCCACUAUUUCACUUUUAUAGUGCAGUGUUUAGGCUCAAGUAAUCCUUAUUUUGGAUUCUCUAAUCAUGCCUGAUACAUAUCAUAGGUCAGGGAUUCCCUGUAAUAUUUCAUUAGUCUUGUCAACCAGAUUUAUUCGUAAAUGAGAAUAAAUGAGCAUGUCAGCGUAAGUUAUUGUGGUAAUUUGUGAAACUGUUAAUGAGAUAUUUUCUGAGCUCAUAAAUGUUGAGCUAUGUCAUAAAAUUACUGCACAAUAAUUCUAUUUUGAUACAGUAAGUGAGCUGAUAUUUUAUCAAAAAUGACACCCUGAUGCAUCAAUGAACUGAAGAUGAACAAUUAAAUGUUCCAAUGAAAGAGAUCUGAUGUUAUUCAGUAGUUAAUACUCACAAAGGAAUGUGGAGUUUAAAAAAAAGUGAUUAUUUUGAAUUAAUUGGAUAUGUUUUUUAACUUUUUAGAAUGUAGUUAGGAAACAAAUCAAUAAUAAGAAUUGCCUAAAUUUAUUUGAAAAAAGAUACACUCAAAUAUUUUACAGUGUAACAGGUAUGUGCUGUUCUUGAAUAUAGACCCAAACAUUUUCAUAGGAUGCUCAAGGGAUUAAUAAGUCUUACAGUAAGUCUACAGGGACAAUCAUGCGUGUUAAAUUAGGGCUCUGUUGUGCUAUAAGGAAAGAAGGAAAAGGACAUAGACCCAAGAGAAAGAAGAAUGUGUGCGUUUAUCUCAAUUUGAGCAGUGUUUAAACUGUAUAAGCACAUUAACAGGCAGGGGAUGGGGUGAGGUGGUGAUAUUAGUAGUUACCACAGGGCAUUCUCUUCAGAAGAAGGGAAGAUUGACUAUUGAAGUGGAAGACCUCUGCAUCUGAGUGGGGAAGAGGGAGCACCUGAAGUUUACUAGACAAAGACACUGGAGAUAGAGUGUGUAAAAAAACCAGUUCAUUCAGUGUAUAUUCUUCAAUCCUUUAAUGUCAUCACUAUGGUAUCCAGAGAUCCACUACAAUUUUGUAAUGCCUUUGGGAGCGUUAGAAACCAAAUUACCAAGGUUUGUACAAGAAAAUGUUUACUGGGUGCUCACUGGCUAGAGGGCCUCAAGGAAGAAGCUGAAGAUGCAUUUAGCUAUAAUAGAUUCUCUGUGCUCUAGAUCCUAUAACAUAAAUAAGGAUAUAGGGGACUCACAUGAGUUAUGUGAGUUACUAAAUGAGUGCAUUAAAAGUUACUAAAUUACAGAGUUCCUAUUGUGGCACAGUGGAAACGAAUCCGACUAGGAGCCAUGAGGUUGUGGGUUCGAUCCCUAGCCUCGCUCAAUGGGUUAAGGAUCCGGCUUUGAUGUGAGCUGUGGUGUAGGUCGCAGAUGUGGCUGGGAUAUGGCGUGGCUGUGGCUUGGGAUAGGCCAGCACCUAUAGCUCCAAUUAGACCCUUAGCCUGGGAACCUCCAUAUGCCGCGAGUUCGGCCCUAAAAAGACAAAAAA